Molecule: ribosomal RNA, 255 nt
Filed under: uncultured bacterium
Lineage: Bacteria
Description: partial 16S ribosomal RNA
Rfam family: Bacterial small subunit ribosomal RNA
Source: RNAcentral
UACGUAGGGGGGCAAGCGUUGUCCGGAUUUAUUGGGCGUAAAGAGCGUGUAGGCGGCCAGGCAGGUCCGCUGUGAAAAACUCGAGGCUCAACCUCGAGAGGUCGGUGGAAACCGUUUGGCUAGAGUCCGGAAGAGGAGAGUGGAAUUCCCGGUGUAGCGGUGAAAUGCGCAGAUAUCGGGAAGAACACCCGUGGCGAAGGCGGCUCUCUGGGACGGUACUGACGCUGAGACGCGAAAGCGUGGGGAGCGAACAGG